Bison bison bison is the source of this 155-nucleotide small nuclear RNA. Its record names the gene U2. It matches the Rfam family "U2 spliceosomal RNA". From Rfam's summary of the family: U2 is a small nuclear RNA (snRNA) component of the spliceosome (involved in pre-mRNA splicing). Complementary binding between U2 snRNA (in an area lying towards the 5' end but 3' to hairpin I) and the branchpoint sequence (BPS) of the intron results the bulging out of an unpaired adenosine, on the BPS, which initiates a nucleophilic attack at the intronic 5' splice site, thus starting the first of two transesterification reactions that mediate splicing. NCBI's taxonomy places the organism in Eukaryota, Metazoa, Chordata, Mammalia, Artiodactyla, Bovidae. The record is from Ensembl.
UUCUGUGUCUUGGCAUUUUGGCUAAGAUCAAGUGUAGUAUCUGUUCUUAUCAGCUUAAGUCUGGUAUGUCCUCUAUCCAGGCUUCCCAGGUGGCAAUAGUGGUAAAGAACCCAUCUGCCAGUGCAGGAGGCAUAAGACACACAGGUUCAGUCCUG